GAUGAACGCUGGCGGCAUGCCUAACACAUGCAAGUCGAACGGAGAUUCCGGACGGAAGUUUUCGGAUGGAAGCCUGUAAUUCUUAGUGGCGGACGGGUGAGUAACGCGUGGGCAACCUGCCCUAUACAGGGGGAUAGCAGCUGGAAACGGCUGGUAAGACCGCAUAAGUCGGUUAAAUCGCAUGAUUUGAUCGGGAAAUGAGCAAUCAGGUAUAGGAUGGGCCCGCGUCCGAUUAGCCAGUUGGCAGGGUAAAAGCCUACCAAAGCGACGAUCGGUAGCCGGACUGAGAGGUCGGACGGCCACAUUGGGACUGAGACACGGCCCAAACUCCUACGGGAGGCAGCAGUGGGGGAUAUUGCACAAUGGAGGAAACUCUGAUGCAGCGACGCCGCGUGAGUGAAGAAGUAUUUCGGUAUGUAAAGCUCUAUCAGCAGGGAAGAUGAUGACGGUACCUGACUAAGAAGCCCCGGCUAACUACGUG
Molecule: ribosomal RNA, 481 nt
Filed under: uncultured bacterium
Lineage: Bacteria
Description: partial 16S ribosomal RNA
Rfam family: Bacterial small subunit ribosomal RNA
Source: RNAcentral